RNAcentral lists this ribosomal RNA (460 nucleotides) under uncultured bacterium. Its description in RNAcentral is "partial 16S ribosomal RNA". It matches the Rfam family "Bacterial small subunit ribosomal RNA", at positions 338 to 795 of the family's 1533-position model. The record is from RNAcentral.
CCUACGGGGGGCAGCAGUGAGGAAUAUUGGUCAAUGGGCGCGAGCCUGAACCAGCCAAGUAGCGUGAAGGAUGACUGCCCUACGGGUUGUAAACUUCUUUUAUAAAGGAAUAAAGUGAGGCACGUGUGCCUUUUUGUAUGUACUUUAUGAAUAAGGAUCGGCUAACUCCGUGCCAGCAGCCGCGGUAAUACGGAGGAUCCGAGCGUUAUCCGGAUUUAUUGGGUUUAAAGGGAGCGUAGAUGGGUUGUUAAGUCAGUUGUGAAAGUUUGCGGCUCAACCGUAAAAUUGCAAUUGAUACUGGCGCUCUUGAGUGGAAGAGAAGUAGGCGGAAUGCGUGGUGUAGCGGUGAAAUGCAUAGAUAUCACGCAGAACCCCGAUUGCGAAGGCAGCAUGCCGGCUUCCUACUGACGCUGAAGCACGAAAGCGUGGGGAUCGAACAGGAUUAGAUACCCUAGUAGUC